UACGUAGGGUGCGAGCGUUAAUCGGAAUUACUGGGCGUAAAGCGUGCGCAGGCGGGGUUUUAAGCCAGACGUGAAAUCCCCGGGCUUAACCUGGGAAUGGCGUUUGGGACUGGAAGUCUGGAGUGCGGCAGAGGAGACUGGAAUUCCUGGUGUAGCAGUGAAAUGCGUAGAUAUCAGGAGGAACACCGAUGGCGAAGGCAGGUCUCUGGGCUGACACUGACGCUCAUGCACGAAAGCGUGGGGAGCAAACAGG
RNAcentral lists this ribosomal RNA (253 nucleotides) under uncultured bacterium. RNAcentral describes it as "partial 16S ribosomal RNA". It matches the Rfam family "Bacterial small subunit ribosomal RNA", at positions 524 to 776 of the family's 1533-position model. The record is from RNAcentral.